UACGUAGGGGGCUAGCGUUGUCCGGAUUUAUUGGGCGUAAAGAGCUCGUAGGCGGCUUGUCGCGUCGAAUGUGAAAUCUCAGGGCUCAACUCUGACAUUGCAUUUGAUACGGGCAGGCUAGAGUUCGGUAGGGGAGACUGGAAUUCCUGGUGUAGCGGUGAAAUGCGCAGAUAUCAGGAGGAACACCGGUGGCGAAGGCGGCGAUCUGGGUCGAUACUGACACUGAGGCACGAAGGCCAGGGGAGCAAACGGG
Molecule: ribosomal RNA, 253 nt
Filed under: uncultured bacterium
Lineage: Bacteria
Description: partial 16S ribosomal RNA
Rfam family: Bacterial small subunit ribosomal RNA
Source: RNAcentral